GUAGGGAGCGAGCGUUGUCCGGAAUUACGGGGUGUAAAGGGAGCGUAGGCGGGAUGGCAAGUCAGAUGUGAAAACUAUGGGCUCAACCCAUAGACUGCAUUUGAAACUGUUGUUCUUGAGUGAGGUAGAGGUAAGCGGAAUUCCUGGUGUAGCGGUGAAAUGCGUAGAGAUCAGGAGGAACAUCGGUGGCGAAGGCGGCUUACUGGGCCUUUACUGACGCUGAGGCUCGAAAGCGUGGGGAGCAAACAGGAUUAGAUACCCUGGUAGUCCACGCCGUAAACGAUGAUUACUAGGUGUGGGGGGACUGACCCCUUCCGUGCCGCAGUUAACACAGUAAGUAAUCCACCUGGGGAGU
RNAcentral lists this ribosomal RNA (355 nucleotides) under uncultured bacterium. RNAcentral's name for it is "bacterial SSU rRNA". It matches the Rfam family "Bacterial small subunit ribosomal RNA", at positions 527 to 881 of the family's 1533-position model. The record is from RNAcentral.